UGGGGAAUAUUGGACAAUGGGCGCAAGCCUGAUCCAGCAAUGCCGCGUGAGUGAGGAAGGCCUUAGGGUUGUAAAGCUCUUUCGGCGGGGACGAUGAUGACGGUACCCGCAGAAGAAGCCCCGGCUAACUUCGUGCCAGCAGCCGCGGUAAUACGAAGGGGGCGAGCGUUGUUCGGAUUUACUGGGCGUAAAGGGCGCGCAGGCGGUCCUGUUUGUCGAGUGUGAAAGCCCCGGGCUCAACCUGGGAAUGGCGCUCGAAACGGCGGGACUAGAGAUCGGGAGAGGAGCGUGGAAUUCCCAGUGUAGAGGUGAAAUUCGUAGAUAUUGGGAAGAACACCGGUGGCGAAGGCGGCGCUCUGGACCGAGACUGACGCUGAGGCGCGAAAGCGUGGGGAGCAAACAGGAUUAGAUACCCCCGUAGUCC
RNAcentral lists this ribosomal RNA (424 nucleotides) under uncultured bacterium. Its description in RNAcentral is "bacterial SSU rRNA". It matches the Rfam family "Bacterial small subunit ribosomal RNA", at positions 355 to 796 of the family's 1533-position model. The record is from RNAcentral.